GACGAACGCUGGCGGCGUGCUUAACACAUGCAAGUCGAACGGAAAGGCCCUGCUUUUGUGGGGUGCUCGAGUGGCGAACGGGUGAGUAACACGUGAGUAACCUGCCCUUGACUUUGGGAUAACUUCAGGAAACUGGGGCUAAUACCGGAUAGGAGCUCCUGCUGCAUGGUGGGGGUUGGAAAGUUUCGGCGGUUGGGGAUGGACUCGCGGCUUAUCAGCUUGUUGGUGGGGUAGUGGCUUACCAAGGCUUUGAUGGGUAGCCGGCCUGAGAGGGUGACCGGCCACAUUGGGACUGAGAUACGGCCCAGACUCCUCGGGGAGGCAGAAGUGGGGAAUAUUGAAAAAUGGGCGGAAGCCUGAUGAAGGAACGCCGCGUGCGGGAUGAGGGCCUUGGGGUUGUAAACCGCUUUCGCCUGUGACGAAGCGUGAGUGACGGUAAUGGGUAAAGAAGCACCGGCUAACUACGUG
This 468-nucleotide ribosomal RNA is filed under the name uncultured bacterium. RNAcentral's name for it is "partial 16S ribosomal RNA". It matches the Rfam family "Bacterial small subunit ribosomal RNA", at positions 28 to 507 of the family's 1533-position model. The record is from RNAcentral.